GUCAAGUCAUCAUGCCCCUUACGUCCAGGGCUUCACGCAUGCUACAAUGGCCGGUACAAAGAGCUGCGAACCUGCAAAGGUAAGCGAAUCUCAAAAAGCCGGUCUCAGUUCGGAUUGGGGUCUGCAACUCGACCCCAUGAAGUCGGAGUCGCUAGUAAUCGCAGAUCAGCAACGCUGCGGUGAAUACGUUCCCGGGGCUU
RNAcentral lists this ribosomal RNA (200 nucleotides) under uncultured prokaryote. Its description in RNAcentral is "partial 16S ribosomal RNA". It matches the Rfam family "Bacterial small subunit ribosomal RNA", at positions 1184 to 1382 of the family's 1533-position model. The record is from RNAcentral.